Molecule: ribosomal RNA, 465 nt
Filed under: Vreelandella stevensii
Lineage: Bacteria; Pseudomonadati; Pseudomonadota; Gammaproteobacteria; Oceanospirillales; Halomonadaceae
Description: partial 16S ribosomal RNA
Rfam family: Bacterial small subunit ribosomal RNA
Source: RNAcentral
CCUAGGGGGGGCAGCAGUGGGGAAUAUUGGACAAUGGGCGAAAGCCUGAUCCAGCCAUGCCGCGUGUGUGAAGAAGGCCUUCGGGUUGUAAAGCACUUUCAGUGGGGAAGAAAGCCUUGGGGCUAAUACCCUCGAGGAAGGACAUCACCCACAGAAGAAGCACCGGCUAACUCCGUGCCAGCAGCCGCGGUAAUACGGAGGGUGUGAGCGUUAAUCGGAAUUACUGGGCGUAAAGCGCGCGUAGGCGGUCUGAUAAGCCGGUUGUGAAAGCCCCGGGCUCAACCUGGGAACGGCAUCCGGAACUGUCAGGCUAGAGUGCAGGAGAGGAAGGUAGAAUUCCCGGUGUAGCGGUGAAAUGCGUAGAGAUCGGGAGGAAUACCAGUGGCGAAGGCGGCCUUCUGGACUGACACUGACGCUGAGGUGCGAAAGCGUGGGUAGCAAACAGGAUUAGAUACCCCAGUAGUC